RNAcentral lists this ribosomal RNA (274 nucleotides) under uncultured prokaryote. RNAcentral's name for it is "partial 16S ribosomal RNA". It matches the Rfam family "Bacterial small subunit ribosomal RNA", at positions 524 to 798 of the family's 1533-position model. The record is from RNAcentral.
UACAGAGGUGGCGAGCGUUGUUCGGAUUUACUGGGCGUAAAGUGCGUUGAGGCGGCCUUGUAAGUUGGACGUGAAAGCCCUCGGCUCAACUGAGGGAGGUCGUUCAAUACUGCAGGGCUUGAGGACAGCAGAGGGAGGUGGAAUUCCCAGUGUAGCGGUGAAAUGCGUAGAUAUCGGGAGGAACACCAGUGGCGAAGGCGGCCUCCUGGGCUGUUCCUGACGCUGAAGGCGAAAGCUAGGGGAGCGAACGGGAUUAGAUACCCGGGUAGUCCCU